This 253-nucleotide ribosomal RNA is filed under the name uncultured bacterium. RNAcentral's name for it is "partial 16S ribosomal RNA". It matches the Rfam family "Bacterial small subunit ribosomal RNA", at positions 524 to 776 of the family's 1533-position model. The record is from RNAcentral.
UACGUAGGUGGCAAGCGUUGUCCGGAAUUAUUGGGCGUAAAGGGCUCGCAGGCGGUUUUCUAAGUCUGAUGUGAAAUCUUGCGGCUUAACCGUAAGCGGUCAUUGGAAACUGGAGAACUUGUGUACAGAAGAGGAGAGUGGAAUUCCACGUGUAGCGGUGAAAUGCGUAGAGAUGUGGAGGAACACCAGUGGCGAAGGCGACUCUCUGGUCUGUAACUGACGCUGAGGAGCGAAAGCGUGGGGAGCGAACGGG